This 452-nucleotide ribosomal RNA is filed under the name Rahnella sp. S717-17. RNAcentral's name for it is "bacterial SSU rRNA". It matches the Rfam family "Bacterial small subunit ribosomal RNA", at positions 30 to 473 of the family's 1533-position model. Lineage: Bacteria; Pseudomonadati; Pseudomonadota; Gammaproteobacteria; Enterobacterales; Yersiniaceae. The record is from RNAcentral.
AUUGAACGCUGGCGGCAGGCCUAACACAUGCAAGUCGAGCGGCAGCGGAAAGUAGCUUGCUACUUUGCCGGCGAGCGGCGGACGGGUGAGUAAUGUCUGGGAAACUGCCUGAUGGAGGGGGAUAACUACUGGAAACGGUAGCUAAUACCGCAUGACCUCGAAAGAGCAAAGUGGGGGAUCUUCGGACCUCACGCCAUCGGAUGUGCCCAGAUGGGAUUAGCUAGUAGGUGAGGUAAUGGCUCACCUAGGCGACGAUCCCUAGCUGGUCUGAGAGGAUGACCAGCCACACUGGAACUGAGACACGGUCCAGACUCCUACGGGAGGCAGCAGUGGGGAAUAUUGCACAAUGGGCGCAAGCCUGAUGCAGCCAUGCCGCGUGUGUGAAGAAGGCCUUAGGGUUGUAAAGCACUUUCAGCGAGGAGGAAGGCAUCAUACUUAAUACGUGUGGUGAU